AACACUGUUAACCUGCGGUACCUGCGGAGGGAUCAUUACAAGUGACCCCGGUCUAACCACCGGGAUGUUCAUAACCCUUUGUUGUCCGACUCUGUUGCCUCCGGGGCGACCCUGCCUUCGGGCGGGGGCUCCGGGUGGACACUUCAAACUCUUGCGUAACUUUGCAGUCUGAGUAAACUUAAUUAAUAAAUUAAAACUUUUAACAACGGAUCU
Molecule: unclassified non-coding RNA, 213 nt
Filed under: soil metagenome
Description: partial contains 5.8S ribosomal RNA, internal transcribed spacer 2, and large subunit ribosomal RNA
Source: RNAcentral